UUUAUUGCUGAUAUAUAGGAACAUGAUUAACUUUUAUGUGCUUAUAUACUGAGAUCUUGCUGAACUUAUUCAUUUGUUCUAAGAACUUUUGGGAAUGUAGAUUUUCUUAGAUUUUUAAAUGUGAUUUCUAGAUUGUGUGAUUGAUGAUAUUCCUACAUAGAAUGUAAAGUUUAAAAAUUGUUUUUGUUUUUAAAUCAGAGUGAUAAAAACUGAGGGGUAAUUGGGUGUGAGGUACCCUUUGGGAUAUGCAUGUAGACAUUUUCAAAGCACAUUGAAUAUCUUGGUCUAGAACUCAUUAAGAACAAGAGAUUGGGAUGACAGUUUAUGGACCAAUCAACAUAGAGAUGCUAAUUAAAGUCAUGGGCAUGAGUGAGACCAUCUACAGUGUGUCUUUACACUUAGAAAAAGUCAGAAAUAAAUACUAUUGAAGAGAAUGUAUAUAGUUUUCUGUCAUUUUUUUUCUUUUAUUUAUACAACUGCUUAAUGUUGGAAAAGGGAUAGCAGAACAGAAUUACUCUGUAUUGUCUUUCAGUAUCACCUCCUGGUAAUAAGAAAAUAUGCAGAAAAGAACACAGCAGGCCAGAGAUUGCUAUCCUGAGGAAGGCCUCCUUACAAGGUUGGCCCAGCUGGCAUUCCAGAACUUGGAUUUGGGAGUGUUUCCACCAUUUCCUGGUAAGAAUGGCAAGAAUAAAAGUUUACAAGACUUAACCUCUGCAACCUGGCCACCCAGAGAAGGCAUUGGCGCCCUACAAAGUUCUGUGGAAAUCAGCUAUCAUCCAAUGCUUUAG
RNAcentral lists this long non-coding RNA (788 nucleotides) under Papio anubis (olive baboon). Its description in RNAcentral is "lncRNA (ENSPANG00000046972.1)". Lineage: Eukaryota; Metazoa; Chordata; Mammalia; Primates; Cercopithecidae. The record is from RNAcentral.